UUGCUUCUCUGAUGUUAGCGGCGGACGGGUGAGUAACACGUGGGUAACCUACCUAUAAGACUGGGAUAACUCCGGGAAACCGGGGCUAAUACCGGAUAAUAUUUUGAACCGCAGGGUUCAAUAGUGAAAGACGGUUUCGGCUGUCACUUAUAGAUGGACCCGCGCCGUAUUAGCUAGUUGGUAAGGUAACGGCUUACCAAGGCGACGAUACGUAGCCGACCUGAGAGGGUGAUCGGCCACACUGGAACUGAGACACGGUCCAGACUCCUACGGGAGGCAGCAGUAGGGAAUCUUCCGCAAUGGGCGAAAGCCUGACGGAGCAACGCCGCGUGAGUGAUGAAGGUCUUCGGAUCGUAAAACUCUGUUGUUAGGGAAGAACAAAUUUGUUAGUAACUGAACAAGUCUUGACGGUACCUAACCAGAAAGCCACGGCUAACUACGUGCCAGCAGCCGCGGUAAUACGUAGGUGGCAAGCGUUAUCCGGAAUUAUUGGGCGUAAAGCGCGCGUAGGCGGUUUCUUAAGUCUGAUGUGAAAGCCCACGGCUCAACCGUGGAGGGCAUUGGAAACUGGGAAACUUGAGUGCAAAGAGGAGAGUGGAAUUCAUGUGUACGGUGAAUGCCAGAGAUAUGGAGGAACACCAGUGGCGAAGGCGGCUCUCUGGUCUGAACUGACGCUGAUGUGCG
This 684-nucleotide ribosomal RNA is filed under the name Mammaliicoccus sciuri. RNAcentral describes it as "bacterial SSU rRNA". It matches the Rfam family "Bacterial small subunit ribosomal RNA", at positions 78 to 755 of the family's 1533-position model. The record is from RNAcentral. Lineage: Bacteria; Bacillati; Bacillota; Bacilli; Caryophanales; Staphylococcaceae.